This 179-nucleotide ribosomal RNA is filed under the name Clostridioides difficile. Its description in RNAcentral is "partial 16S ribosomal RNA". It matches the Rfam family "Bacterial small subunit ribosomal RNA", at positions 1364 to 1533 of the family's 1533-position model. Lineage: Bacteria; Bacillati; Bacillota; Clostridia; Peptostreptococcales; Peptostreptococcaceae. The record is from RNAcentral.
GAGUGCGGUCCCGGGUCUGCUACACACCGCCGGUCACACCACGGGAGGUGGAGACGCCCGAAGCCGAUUAUCUAACCUGUUGGAAGAAGUCGUCGAAGGGGGAAUCAAUAACUGGGGUGAAGUCGUAACAAGGUAGCCGUAUCGGAAGGUGCGGCUGGAUCACCUCCUUUCUAAGGAGA